This 91-nucleotide non-coding RNA is filed under the name Clostridium amazonitimonense. RNAcentral's name for it is "TPP riboswitch (THI element)". It matches the Rfam family "TPP riboswitch aptamer (THI element)", at positions 7 to 92 of the family's 105-position model. From Rfam's summary of the family: Vitamin B(1) in its active form thiamin pyrophosphate (TPP) is an essential coenzyme that is synthesised by coupling of pyrimidine and thiazole moieties in bacteria. The previously detected thiamin-regulatory element, thi box was extended, resulting in a new, highly conserved RNA secondary structure, the THI element, which is widely distributed in eubacteria and also occurs in some archaea. The record is from RNAcentral. Lineage: Bacteria; Bacillati; Bacillota; Clostridia; Eubacteriales; Clostridiaceae.
AAUGCUAGGGGUGCUUUAAAGCUGAGAGGGAAUGUUUUUCCUAACCCUUGUACCUGAACUGGGUAAUACCAGCGUAGGAAAGCGGGAUUGU